RNAcentral lists this long non-coding RNA (3353 nucleotides) under Malus domestica (apple). Its description in RNAcentral is "long non-coding RNA (MDOM_LNC002236)". The record is from RNAcentral. Lineage: Eukaryota; Viridiplantae; Streptophyta; Magnoliopsida; Rosales; Rosaceae.
GGGAAGGAAUCAAAUCCCUUGGCAGUGAAACUUUAUUUGGAGGCUUGAUUUUCAAGGAUCGAACAAGAUUCUUUGGCAAUGGAACAUUAAAUGGAGAGAGGAGAGAGAAUGAAUCAAAUCACUUGGCAGUGGAACUUUAUUUGCAAGCUUGGUUUUUAAGGAUCGAACAAGAUUCUUUCGUAGUGGAACAUUAAAAGGAGAGAGUAGAGAGAAGGAAUCAAAUCACUUGGCAGUGUAACUUUAUUUGGAGGCAUGUUUCCAAGGAUCCAACAAGAUUCUUUGGUAGUGGAACUUUAAAUGGAGAGAGGAGAGAGAAGGAAUCAAAUCACUUGUUAAUGGAACUUUAUUUGGAGGCUUGAUUUUCAACGAUCAAGCAAGAUUCUUUAGCAGUGGAACUUUAAAUGGAGAGAUGAGAGAGAAUGAAUCAAAUCACUUGGCAGUGGAACAGUAUUUGGAGGCAUGGUUUUCAAAGAUCGAACAAGAUUCUUUGGCAGUGGAACUUCAAUUGGAGAGAAGAGGGAGAAUGAAUCGAAUCACUUGGCAGUGGAACUUUAAAUGGAGAGAGUAAAGAGAAGGAAUCAAAUCACUUGGCAGUGGAACUUUAUUUGAAGGCUUGGUUUUUAAGGAUCGAACAAGAUUCUCUGGCAGUAGAACUUUAAAUGGAGAAAGAGAGAGAAGGAAUCAAAUCACUUGAUAAUGGAACUUUAUUUGCAGGCUUGGUUUUUAAGAAUCGAACAAAAUUCUUUCGUAGUGGAACUUUCAAUGGAGAGAGUAGAGAAUGAAUCAAAUCACUUGGCAGUGGAACUUUAUUUGGAGGCUUGGUUUUCAACGAUCAAACAAGAUUGUUUGGUAGUGGAACUUUAAAUGGAGAGAGGAGAGAGAAGGAAUCAAAUCACUUGGCAAUGGAACUUUAAAUGGAGAGAGUAAAGAGAAGGAAUCAAAACACUUGGUAGUGGAACUUUAUUUGGAGGCUUGGUUUUGAACGAUCAAACAAGAUUCUUUGGUAGUGGAACUUUGAAUUGAAAGAGGAGAGAGAAUCAAUGAAAUCACUUGGCAGUUGAACAAUAAAUGGAGAGAGUAGAGAUAAUGAAUCAAAUCACUUGGCAGUGGAACUUUAUUUGGAGGCUUGGUUUUCAACGAUCAAACAAGAUUCUUUGGUAGUGGAACUUUAAAUGGAGAGAGGAGAGAGAAGGAAUCAAAUCACUUGGCAGUGGAACUUUAAAUGGAAAGAGUAAAGAGAAGGAAUCAAAUCACUUGGCAGUGGAACUUUAUUUGGAGGCUUGGUUUUCAAGGAUCGAACAAGAUUCUUUGGCAGUAGAACUUUAAAUGGAGAAAGGAGAGAGAAAGAAUCAAAUCACUUGGCUGUGGAACUUUAUUUGCAGGCUUGGUUUUUAAGGAUCGAAAAAAGUUCUUUCGUAGUGGAACUUUCAAUGGAGAAAGUAGAGAGAAGGAAUCAAAUCACUUGACAAUGGAACUUUAUUUGGAGGCUUGGUUUCCAACGAUCAAACAAGAUUCUUUGGUAGUGGAACAUUAAAUGGAGAGAGGAGAGAGAAGGAAUCAAAUCACUUGUUAGUGGAACUUUAUUUGGAGGCUUGGUUUUCAAGGAUCGAACAAGAUUAUUUGACAGUGGAACUUAAAUGGAGAGAGGAAAGAGAAAGAAUCAAAUCACUUGGCAGUGGAACUUUAAUUGGAAGUUUGGUUUUCAAGGAUCGAACAAGAUUCUUUGGCAGUGGAAUUUUAAAUGGAGAGAGGAGAGAGAAUGAAUCAAAUCACUUGGCAGUGGAACUUUAAAUGGAGAGAGUAAAGAGAAGGAAUGAAUCAAAUCACUUGGCAGUGGAACUUUAUUUGGAGGCUUGGUUUUCAAGGAUCGAACAAGAUUCUUUGGCAAUGGAACUUUAAAUGGAAAGAGUAGAGGGAAGGAAUCAAAUCACUUGGCAGUGGAACUUUAUUUGGAGCCCUAGUUUUUAAGGAUCGAAAAUGAUUCUUUGGCAAUUGAACUUUAAAUGGAGAGAUGAGAGAAGGAAUCAAAUCACUUGGCAUUGCAACUUUAUUUGGAGGCUUGGUUUUCAAGGAUCGAACAAGAUUUUUUGGUAGUGGAACUUUAAAUAGAGAGAGUGGAGAGAAGGAAUCAAAUCACUUGGCAGUGAAACUUUAUUUGGAGGCUUGGUUUUCAAGGAUCGAACAAUAUUCUUUGGCAGUAGAACUUUAAAUGGAGAGAGGAGAGAGAAGGAAUUAAGUCACUUGCAUUGGAACUUUAUUUGGAGGCUUGUUUUUCAAAGAUCGAACAUGAUUCUUUUGUAGUGGAACCUUAAAUGGAGAAAGUAGAGAUAAGGAAUCAAAUCACUUGGUAAUGGAACUUUAUUUGGAGGCUUGGAGGCUUCGUUUUCAAGGAUUGAACAAGAUUCUUUGAUACUGGAACUUUAAAUGUAGAGAUGAGAGAGAAGGAAUCAAAUCACUUGGUAGUGGAACUUUAUUUGGAGGCUUGGUUUUCAAGGAUUGAACAAGAUUCUUUGGCAGUGGAACUUUAAAUGGAGAGAUGAGAUAGAAGGAAUCAAAUCACUUGGCAGUGACACUUUAUUUGGAAGCUUGGUUUUCAAGAAUCGAACAAGAUUCUUUAGCAGUGGAACAUUAAAUGGAGAGAUGAGAGCGAAGGAAACAAAUCACUUGGCAGUGGAACUUUAAAUGGAGAGAGUAGAGAGAAGGGAUCAAAUAACUUGGCAGUGGAACUUUAUUUGGAGGCUUGGUUUUCAACGAUCAAACAAGAUUCUCUGGUAGUGGAACUUUAAAUGGAGAGAGGAGAGAAAAGGAAUCAAAUCACUUGUUAGUGGAACUUUAUUUGGAUGCUUGGUUUUUAAGGAUCGAACAAGAUUAUUUGGCAGUGGAACUUAAAUGGAGAGAGGAAAUAGAAGGAAUCAAAUCACUUGGAAAUGGAACUUUAUUUGGAAGUUUGUUUUUCAAGGAUCGAACAAGAUUAUUUGGCAAUGGAACUUUACAUGGAGAUAGGAGAGAGAAUGAAUCAAAUCACUUGGCAAUAGAACUUUAAAUGGAGAGAGUAAAGAGAAGGAAUCAAAUCAUUUGGCAGUGGAACUUUAUUUGGUGGCUUGGUUUUCAAGGAUCGAAAAAGAUUCUUUGGAAAUUGAACUUUAAAUGGAGAGAUGAGAGAGACGGAAUCAAACCACUUGGCAGUGGAACUUUAUUUGGAAGUUUGGUUUUCAAGGAUCGAACAAGAUUCUUUGCCAGUGGAACUUUAAAUGGAGAGAGGAGAGAGAAUGAAUCAACUCACUUGGCAGUGGAACUUGAAAUGUAGAGAGUAGAGGGAAGGAAUCAAAUCACUUGGCAGUGGAACUUUAUUU